This 1982-nucleotide ribosomal RNA is filed under the name Parabacteroides distasonis. RNAcentral describes it as "partial 23S ribosomal RNA". It matches the Rfam family "Bacterial large subunit ribosomal RNA", at positions 1 to 1999 of the family's 2925-position model. The record is from RNAcentral. Lineage: Bacteria; Pseudomonadati; Bacteroidota; Bacteroidia; Bacteroidales; Tannerellaceae.
AAAGAAAGUAAGCAAGGGCGCAUGGCGGAUGCCUUGGCUCUCGGAGGCGAUGAAGGACGUGAUAAGCUGCGAUAAGCUUCGGGCAGGUGCAAAUAACCUUUGAUCCGAAGAUUUCCGAAUGGGACAACCCGUCAUUCUGAAGGAAUGACAUCUUGCAUAGCAAGAGGCUAACGCAGGGAACUGAAACAUCUUAGUACCUGUAGGAAAAGAAAAUAAUAAUGAUUCCCCUAGUAGUGGCGAGCGAACGGGGAUUAGCCCAAACCAAUGUUGUUACGGCAAUAUUGGGGUUGUAGGACCACGAUGUCGCAAGAAAUUUAGUGAGAAGAACCCUUUGGAAAAUGGGACCAUAGACGGUGAUAGUCCGGUAUUCGAAGCUAAAUGAAGCGUAGUGGUAUCCUGAGUAGCGCGGGACACGAGGAAUCUUGCGUGAAUCUGCCGGGACCAUCCGGUAAGGCUAAAUACUCCCGAGAGACCGAUAGCGAACCAGUACUGUGAAGGAAAGGUGAAAAGCACUUCGAAUAGAAGAGUGAAAUAGUCCCUGAAACCGUGCGCCUACAAGCGGUCGGAGCUGCUUCAGCAGUGACGGCGUGCCUUUUGCAUAAUGAACCUACGAGUUACUUUUUCCGGCAAGGUUAAGGAUCUUGAGAUCCGCAGCCGAAGCGAAAGCGAGUCUUAACAGGGCGAUUAGUCGGAAGGAGUAGACGCGAAACCAAGUGAUCUACCCUUGGUCAGGUUGAAGGUUAGGUAACACUAACUGGAGGACCGAACCGAUAAGCGUUGAAAAGCUUCCGGAUGAACUGAGGGUGGGGGUGAAAGGCUAAUCAAACUUGGAGAUAGCUCGUACUCCCCGAAAUGCAUUUAGGUGCAGCCUUGGGAAUUACUACUGUGAGGUAGAGCGACUGAUAAGAUGCGAGGGCUUCACCGCCUAUCAAGUCUUGAUAAACUCCGAAUGCGCAGUAGUUCGAUCCCAGGAGUGAGGGCAUGGGUGCUAAGGUCCAUGUCCUAAAGGAGAAGAAUCCGGACCAUCAGCUAAGGUCCCGAAAUAAUUGCUAAGUUGAACUAACGAAGUCAGAUUGCUAAGACAGCUAGGAUGUUGGCUUGGAAGCAGCCAUUCAUUUAAAGAGUGCGUAACAGCUCACUAGUCGAGGAGUUUGGCGUGGAUAAUAAUCGGGCAUUAAGCAAUUUACCGAAGCUAUGGGAUCCGUAAGGAUCGGUAGGGGAGCAUUCCACUCUGCGUCGAAGGUGAAGCGUGAGCUUUGCUGGAGCGUGUGGAAAAGCAAAUGUAGGUAUAAGUAACGAUAAAGGGGGUGAGAAACCCCCUCGCCGAAAGACUAAGGUUUCCUGAUCAACGCUAAUCGGAUCAGGGUUAGUCGGGUCCUAAGGCUCAGCCGAACGGUGAGGCCGAUGGCAGAACAGGUUAAUAUUCCUGUACUACCUUAAGGAGUGACGUGGAGACGGAGGAGUGACAGCGCCGCGGACUGACGGAAUAGUCCGUUGAAGGGUGUAGAUGUUGAUUAUCCCAGGCAAAUCCGGGAUAAGAGUCGAACCUGAUAGUAUACCAAAUUCUUCGGAAUAAGGUAAUAGUGCGUGUAAGCAUACUCCCAAGAAAAUCCGCUAAACUUAAUCUUUAAGGUACCCGUACCGCAAACGGACACACGUAGUCGGGUUGAAUAUACUAAGGCGCUUGAGUGAUUCACGGUUAAGGAACUAGGCAAAUUGACCCUGUAACUUCGGGAUAAAGGGUCCCAACGAGAGUUGGGCGCAGAGAAUAGGUCCAGGCAACUGUUUAACAAAAACACAGGGCUGUGCCAAAUUGAAAGAUUACGUAUACAGCCUGACACCUGCCCGGUGCUGGAAGGUUAAGAGGAGAUGUCAUCGCAAGAGAAGCAUUGAAUUGAAGCCCCAGUAAACGGCGGCCGUAACUAUAACGGUCCUAAGGUAGCGAAAUUCCUUGUCGGGUAAGUUCCGACCUGCACGAAUGG